UCGGGAAUUUUGGGCAAUGGGCGAAAGCCUGACCCAGCAACGCCGCGUGAAGGAUGAAAUCCCUCGGGAUGUAAACUUCGCAAGAACAGGAAGAAUAAGUAAGGGUUAAUAUCUCUUACGAUGACGGUACUGUUUGUAAGCUCCGGCUAACUCCGUGCCAGCAGCCGCGGUAAUACGGAGGGGGCUAGCGUUGUUCGGAAUUACUGGGCGUAAAGCGCGCGUAGGCGGCUUUGUAAGUUAGAGGUGAAAGCCCGGAGCUCAACUCCGGAACUGCCUUUAAGACUGCAUCGCUAGAAUUGUGGAGAGGUGAGUGGAAUUCCGAGUGUAGAGGUGAAAUUCGUAGAUAUUCGGAAGAACACCAGUGGCGAAGGCGACGACCUGGGCCAAUACUGACGCUGAGGUGCGAAAGCGUGGGGAGCAAA
RNAcentral lists this ribosomal RNA (422 nucleotides) under uncultured bacterium. RNAcentral's name for it is "bacterial SSU rRNA". It matches the Rfam family "Bacterial small subunit ribosomal RNA", at positions 355 to 772 of the family's 1533-position model. The record is from RNAcentral.